RNAcentral lists this ribosomal RNA (467 nucleotides) under uncultured bacterium. RNAcentral's name for it is "partial 16S ribosomal RNA". It matches the Rfam family "Bacterial small subunit ribosomal RNA", at positions 28 to 507 of the family's 1533-position model. The record is from RNAcentral.
GACGAACGCUGGCGGCGCGCCUAACACAUGCAAGUCGAACGGAGCUGAGAGAAGCUUGCUUUUCUUAGCUUAGUGGCGAACGGGUGAGUAACGCGUGAGUAACCUGCCCUGGAGUGGGGACAACAGUUGGAAACGGCUGCUAAUACCGCAUAAGCCCACGAUCCGGCAUCGGAAUGAGGGAAAAGGAUUUAUUCGCUUCAGGAUGGACUCGCGUCCAAUUAGCUAGUUGGUGAGGUAACGGCCCACCAAGGCGACGAUUGGUAGCCGGACUGAGAGGUUGAACGGCCACAUUGGGACUGAGACACGGCCCAGACUCCUACGGGAGGCAGCAGUGGGGGAUAUUGCACAAUGGGGGAAACCCUGAUGCAGCGACGCCGCGUGGAGGAAGAAGGUUUUCGGAUUGUAAACUCCUGUCGUUAGGGACGAUAAUGACGGUACCUAACAAGAAAGCACCGGCUAACUACGUG